Molecule: ribosomal RNA, 372 nt
Filed under: uncultured organism
Description: bacterial SSU rRNA
Rfam family: Bacterial small subunit ribosomal RNA
Source: RNAcentral
CGAAGGUGGCAAGCGUUACUCGGAAUUACUAGGCGUAAAGGGCAGGUAGGUGGUCUGGUUAGUCUGUUGUGAAAGCUCCUUGCUUAACGGGGAGAGGCCAACAGAUACUGCCAGGCUUGAGUAUAGGAGAGGGUACUGGAAUUCCCGGUGUAGCGGUGAAAUGCGCAGAGAUCGGGAGGAACACCAAUGGCGAAAGCAGGUACCUGGACUAUUACUGACACUCAGCUGCGAAAGCUAGGGGAGCAAACAGGAUUAGAUACCCUGGUAGUCCUAGCCGUAAACGAUGCACAUUAGGCGUGAGGGGUAUCGACCCCCUUCGUGCCGAAGCAAACGCAUUAAAUGUGCCGCCUGGGGAGUACGGCCGCAAGGUUG